This 250-nucleotide ribosomal RNA is filed under the name uncultured bacterium. Its description in RNAcentral is "partial 16S ribosomal RNA". It matches the Rfam family "Bacterial small subunit ribosomal RNA", at positions 28 to 279 of the family's 1533-position model. The record is from RNAcentral.
GACGAACGCUGGCGGCGUGCUUAACACAUGCAAGUCGAACGGUGAAGGGGAGCUUGCUCCCCGGAUCAGUGGCGAACGGGUGAGUAACACGUGGGCAACCUGCCCCAGACUUCGGGAUAACGCUUCGAAAGAGGUGCUAAUACCGGAUACGAACCCCCAGGGCAUCCCGGGGGUUGGAAAGUUCUUCGGUCUGGGAUGGGCCCGCGGCCUAUCAGCUUGUUGGUGAGGUAACGGCUCACCAAGGCGACGA